Sander lucioperca (pikeperch) is the source of this 720-nucleotide long non-coding RNA. RefSeq lists it as uncharacterized. NCBI's taxonomy places the organism in Eukaryota, Metazoa, Chordata, Actinopteri, Perciformes, Percidae. The transcript has 2 exons. The record is from RefSeq and is a predicted model, not a curated record.
UCAUUGUCUGGCGCCAUCUUGUGUUUUCGUUGUGAUAAAUCUUAACCGAAGUGUGACACUAUGAGCGAAUCAGCAAGAAAUCUAGUGUCAGCAAUUUUGAGCAAUGAAGAGAUUAUUAACACACUGGCGAAUGCAUGUACGGGCCAAAACACUGGUAACAGUACCGUAUCCAGUACCGUUCUCCCGAUGAAGAAGUUUAUUCACUUUUUCAUCGUGGAAGACCGAAUGUAGGGAACCUCGCUGGCCAGGCAGGUCCCUAUCAUCAGGCUAACGUCAACACGCCUUCAACGUCAACCUUCAACCAGGUGGCCCCCACUACAGCACCGACUUAUAAUUUUCGCCCCUCAACGCGAUCGGGCCGAGGACACAGAAGGUUUCAGGCACAAUUGAGCUGUCCUGUGGCUCAGUCUUUUACCAAAGAGGUAAUUCUCUUGCCACACCAUAAAUCAACAAAUGUACCAAGGCGGGCCAGCAAAGCUUGGCUUUUUGAAAAGGGACAUAUUAAAUCUGCCCUGGAAUUUCGCUGUGACUGGGAUUCCGGAAGAGUGUUGCAGGCAAUAACGGUGGCCUUCCAGCCAAUUCUGGAGGGCUGCAGGUAAGCUUUUGAUCCGUUUUGCCACAUUUGUUACGCGUUUUCUUAUAUUUUUGCAAUAAUAUCAUACUGUAUUAUGAAAGGAUAUUUUUGGGUGUGUUGUAAAUUAAAAACAUUUUUUACAUUCC